RNAcentral lists this ribosomal RNA (460 nucleotides) under uncultured bacterium. RNAcentral's name for it is "partial 16S ribosomal RNA". It matches the Rfam family "Bacterial small subunit ribosomal RNA", at positions 338 to 795 of the family's 1533-position model. The record is from RNAcentral.
CCUACGGGUGGCAGCAGUGAGGAAUAUUGGUCAAUGGACGAGAGUCUGAACCAGCCAAGUAGCGUGAAGGAUGACUGCCCUAUGGGUUGUAAACUUCUUUUAUAUGGGAAUAAAACGUUCCACGUGUGGGAUUUUGUAUGUACCAUAUGAAUAAGGAUCGGCUAACUCCGUGCCAGCAGCCGCGGUAAUACGGAGAAUCCGAGCGUUAUCCGGAUUUAUUGGGUUUAAAGGGAGCGUAGGUGGAUUGUUAAGUCAGUUGUGAAAGUUUGCGGCUCAACCGUAAAAUUGCAGUUGAAACUGGCAGUCUUGAGUACAGUAGAGGUGGGCGGAAUUCGUGGUGUAGCGGUGAAAUACUUAGAUAUCACGAAGAACUCCGAUUGCGAAGGCAGUUCACUGGACUGCAACUGACACUGAGGCUCGAAAGUGUGGGUAUCAAACAGGAUUAGAUACCCCGGUAGUC